RNAcentral lists this non-coding RNA (184 nucleotides) under Halobacillus sp. Its description in RNAcentral is "Lysine sequence". It matches the Rfam family "Lysine riboswitch aptamer". Rfam says of the family: Riboswitches are metabolite binding domains within certain messenger RNAs that serve as precision sensors for their corresponding targets. Allosteric rearrangement of mRNA structure is mediated by ligand binding, and this results in modulation of gene expression. RNAcentral also lists the same sequence under 1 other name. The record is from RNAcentral. Lineage: Bacteria; Bacillati; Bacillota; Bacilli; Caryophanales; Bacillaceae.
CGGUGAGGUAGAGGCGCAGACAUCAUGAGUAGUCAAUGGGAGUAUGACAAGCGAGGAUCAUUGGUGAAGGGGGUGUCUGCCGAAGUGUAAGACAGCGAGUCGGGCUGUUUAACGCUGGUGUACAUCUGAACAGGAGAUACACUGUCAUGCAUGCUUUUUGGGUGCAUGGAGCGCUACUGAUCGA